ACUGAACGCUGGCGGCAUGCUUUACACAUGCAAGUCGAACGGUAGACCCUUUCGGGGGUUGAGAGUGGCGAACGGGUGAGUAAUGCAUCGGAACGUGCCUAGUCGUGGGGGAUAACGUAGCGAAAGUUACGCUAAUACCGCAUACGCACUGAGGUGGAAAGCGGGGGACCGUAAGGCCUCGCGCGAUUGGAGCGGCCGAUGUCGGAUUAGCUAGUUGGUGAGGUAAAGGCUCACCAAGGCGACGAUCCGUAGCGGGUCUGAGAGGAUGAUCCGCCACACUGGGACUGAGACACGGCCCAGACUCCUACGGGAGGCAGCAGUGGGGAAUUUUGGACAAUGGGCGCAAGCCUGAUCCAGCCAUGCCGCGUGCGGGAAGAAGGCCUCGG
RNAcentral lists this ribosomal RNA (386 nucleotides) under uncultured bacterium. Its description in RNAcentral is "bacterial SSU rRNA". It matches the Rfam family "Bacterial small subunit ribosomal RNA", at positions 30 to 420 of the family's 1533-position model. The record is from RNAcentral.